This 73-nucleotide transfer RNA is filed under the name Microcaldota archaeon. RNAcentral describes it as "tRNA-Gln". It matches the Rfam family "tRNA". Rfam says of the family: Transfer RNA (tRNA) molecules are approximately 80 nucleotides in length. Their secondary structure includes four short double-helical elements and three loops (D, anti-codon, and T loops). The record is from RNAcentral. Lineage: Archaea; Nanobdellati; Microcaldota.
AGCCCCGUCAUCUAGUGGUCAAGGAUGGGAGCCUCUGGAGCUCCACACGCCGGUUCGAAUCCGACCGGGGCUA